ACAAGGUGCUGCAUGGUUGUCGUCAGCUCGUGCCGUGAGGUGUCGGUUAAGUCCCAUAACGAGCGCAACCCUAUCAUUAGUUGCCAUCAGGUCAAGCUGGGGACUCUAAUGAAACUGGCCUACGCAAGUAGUGAGGAAGGUGGGGAUGACGUCAAAUCAGCACGGCCCUUACGUCCAGGGCUACACACGUGCUACAAUGGCCGGUACAAAGGGCAGCUACCUGGUGACAGGAUGCAAAUCUCCAAAGUCGGUCUCAGUUCGGAUCGGAGUCUGCAACCCGACUCCGUGAAGUUGGAUUCGCUAGUAAUCGCGCAUCAGCCAUGGCGCGGUGAAUACGUUCCCGGGCCUU
This 349-nucleotide ribosomal RNA is filed under the name uncultured Sphingobacteriales bacterium. RNAcentral's name for it is "bacterial SSU rRNA". It matches the Rfam family "Bacterial small subunit ribosomal RNA", at positions 1033 to 1382 of the family's 1533-position model. The record is from RNAcentral. Lineage: Bacteria; Pseudomonadati; Bacteroidota; Sphingobacteriia; Sphingobacteriales.